UUAGUUAUACAAAAUAACUAUCAGACCGUGAGGUAAAUGCUUUGAUCAAUGCAUAUUCGAUUCUUUCUUC
RNAcentral lists this transfer RNA (70 nucleotides) under Bupleurum wenchuanense. RNAcentral's name for it is "partial tRNA-Leu". The record is from RNAcentral. Lineage: Eukaryota; Viridiplantae; Streptophyta; Magnoliopsida; Apiales; Apiaceae.